RNAcentral lists this ribosomal RNA (459 nucleotides) under uncultured bacterium. RNAcentral describes it as "bacterial SSU rRNA". It matches the Rfam family "Bacterial small subunit ribosomal RNA", at positions 28 to 485 of the family's 1533-position model. The record is from RNAcentral.
GAUGAACGCUGGCGGCGUGCUUAACACAUGCAAGUCGAACGAAGCACUUUAUUUGAUUUCCUUCGGGAUUGAUUAUUUUGUGACUGAGUGGCGGACGGGUGAGUAACGCGUGGGUAACCUGCCUUGUACAGGGGGAUAACAGUUGGAAACGGCUGCUAAUACCGCAUAAGCGCACAGCAUCGCAUGAUGCAGUGUGAAAAACUCCGGUGGUAUAAGAUGGACCCGCGUUGGAUUAGCUAGUUGGUGAGGUAACGGCCCACCAAGGCGACGAUCCAUAGCCGACCUGAGAGGGUGACCGGCCACAUUGGGACUGAGACACGGCCCAAACUCCUACGGGAGGCGGCAGUGGGGAAUAUUGCACAAUGGGCGAAAGCCUGAUGCAGCGACGCCGCGUGAGCGAAGAAGUAUUUCGGUAUGUAAAGCUCUAUCAGCAGGGAAGACAAUGACGGUACCUGACUA